UACGUAGGUCCCGAGCGUUGUCCGGAUUUAUUGGGCGUAAAGCGAGCGCAGGUGGUUUAUUAAAUCUGGUGUAAAAGGCAGUGGCUCAACCAUUGUAUGCAUUGGAAACUGGUAGACUUGAGUGCAGGAGAAGAGAGUGGAAUUCCAUGUGUAGCGGUGAAAUGCGUAGAUAUAUGGAGGAACACCGGUGGCGAAAGCGGCUCUCUGGCCUGUAACUGACACUGAGGCUCGAAAGCGUGGGGAGCAAACAGG
This 252-nucleotide ribosomal RNA is filed under the name uncultured bacterium. RNAcentral describes it as "partial 16S ribosomal RNA". It matches the Rfam family "Bacterial small subunit ribosomal RNA", at positions 524 to 776 of the family's 1533-position model. The record is from RNAcentral.